UGCUAACUUAUUGGAAAGAAA
Molecule: non-coding RNA, 21 nt
Organism: Caenorhabditis elegans
Lineage: Eukaryota; Metazoa; Nematoda; Chromadorea; Rhabditida; Rhabditidae
Source: Ensembl